AGAGUUUGAUCCUGGCUCAGGACGAACGCUGGCGGCAUGCUUAACACAUGCAAGUCGAACGAGAAAGCUUCUUCGGAAGUGAUUAAAGUGGCGCACGGGUGAGUAACGCGUAGACAAUCUGCCCUUCAGUCCGGGACAACUUUCCGAAAGGGGAGCUAAUACCGGAUAACAAUGUUUAACAUAAGUUGAAUAUUUGAAAGCUCCGGCGCUGAUGGAUGAGUCUGCGUCCCAUUAGCUUGUUGGUGCGGUAGCGGCGCACCAAGGCCACGAUGGGUAGCGGGUUUGAGAGGACGAUCCGCCACACUGGAACUGAGACACGGUCCAGACUCCUACGGGAGGCAGCAGUGGGGAAUAUUGCACAAUGGAGGCAACUCUGAUGCAGCAAUGCCGCGUGAGUGAAGAAGGCCCUUGGGUCGUAAAGCUCUUUUAUGGGGGAAGAUGAUGACGGUACCCCAAGAAUAAGCACCGGCUAACUACGUGCCAGCAGCCGCGGUAAUACGUAGGGUGCGAGCGUUGUUCGGAAUUACUGGGCGUAAAGGGCGCGCAGGCGGAGGUGCAAGUCGGAGGUGAAAGCCCGGGGCUCAACCCCGGAGGGUCUUUCGAAACUGCAUCUCUAGAGAGGGUCAGGGGCCGGCAGAAUUCCUGGUGUAGAGGUGAAAUUCGUAGAUAUCAGGAGGAAUACCGGUGGCGAAAGCGGCCGGCUGGGGCCACUCUGACGCUGAGGCGCGAAAGCGUGGGGAGCAAACAGGAUUAGAUACCCUGGUAGUCCACGCCGUAAACGAUGAGCACUGGACGUUCGGAGGGUUCGACCCUUCUGGGUGUUUCAGCUAACGCAUUAAGUGCUCCGCCUGGGGAGUACGGUCGCAAGACUAAAACUCAAGGAAUUGACGGGGGCCCGCACAAGCGGUGGAACAUGUGGCUUAAUUCGAUGCAACGCGAAGAACCUUACCUGGUCUUGACAUCCUCGGACAGCUCCAGAGAAUGGAGUUUCCUCCUUCUGAAGCCGAAUGACAGUGCUGCAUGGCUGUCGUCACCUCUGGUCGUGAGAAGAUUGGGUUAGUCCCGCCACCGAGCGCAACCCCUGCCCUUAAUAUGCUACUCGGUCAAGCCGGCCCUUUAUGGGGACUGGCGGGUGAAAGCCCGAGCGAAAUAGAUAACCUCAAGUCUCUCCCUGGCCUUUUGACAGCUACACGUCAAAUGGGAGUUACAAGGAGUGCUAAACCGAGGCAGUUCAAUUCUAAGACAUUAACU
RNAcentral lists this ribosomal RNA (1251 nucleotides) under uncultured bacterium. Its description in RNAcentral is "bacterial SSU rRNA". It matches the Rfam family "Bacterial small subunit ribosomal RNA", at positions 8 to 1284 of the family's 1533-position model. The record is from RNAcentral.